This 4112-nucleotide unclassified non-coding RNA is filed under the name Leishmania donovani. RNAcentral's name for it is "gene:LdHU3.23.2540(CDS-product:hypothetical_prote in_conserved)". The record is from RNAcentral. Lineage: Eukaryota; Euglenozoa; Kinetoplastea; Trypanosomatida; Trypanosomatidae.
CGUUCCAAAACGAACACUCUCGUCGCCGUGAAGGCCCACCGCCGCCGCUUGGUCAAGAGCACACCUCUUGUGUUCGUGUCCUCCGUGUGGGUGCUUCAGGAAAAAAGGUCAGCGUGACUUUGGAGAAGGGCAGAAAAGACGUGCGGUGCUGCAGCUCACCAGCGGAGGGGAUAGGCGCGCAGGCAGACGCUCUUCCUCUGUUCCCGCUAGCGGCGGGCAGCUUUCUUUGCCCUAACCCCCCUCUCUCCUCUGUCUUUGCGUCCUUCCGACCUCCCUCUUCUUUGCAGUGCCGAGACGCAGUGUAGCAAGACGCGCAGACCGUGCGGAGUGUUUCCCGGCACUCCAAGGACACUGUGCAAGACACACACACACACACACAUCCGCACAUUUUUGUCUCCGUGUAAUAUACAGCACGGCCGUUGCGCACACCCCCGCAUGCGUUUGUGGGCGCUAGCUCCCCCCCUCUGUGUUUCCUCGCGCCUUUGAGUGGGACAGGGGGGGUUCAUGCUACCCGCCUCCCUGACGUUUGAGCCGCCAUCCGUGGUGGCAGUCUUCGCGUCGCAUGCGGUGUUGUGCUGGGAGCAGCCGCGCACUCCACACACCACGUCCUUCGCGGAGCACAUUGCGUGGGAGUAUCAGAUCGAGUACAACUGCUCCUGCAGAGUUAGACAGCAGCCGUACCGCACCACGGGCGGCAACGCCUUUGCUCUCCUGGCCACCCCGCACGAAGGUGAGACGUACUACGUGCGAGUCGUGGCCAAGGCCCGCUUUGCAGGAUCCACUGCUGGUCUCGUCUCUGCCAAGGCCGCGUUCACGGCGUCCUGCAAUGUGGCCAUACCCUGGCGCUGCUCUGCCCGACCGCCGGUGUGCGUCUUCGAUGCGCUCUACCUUAGCGCGAACGUGGAGACGGAGGACAUUGCGGCGCUGAGUGCCGCGCGCAGCUCCACCAUCGACAACGCGGCAGCGCUCGACGGGAAGAGUGCCUGCUACACCCUUGAAGGCGAUAUUGCUGUGCACACGUAUCGCAUGCUCUACAGCGGCACCGCCGCACUGCCGGUCGGGCAGGCAAGAACGGUAUACUACAUGGUGGCUACGACGCGGCUGCACACAGGCAAGCGCACCCGCGCAAUGGAGUUGCUGAGCAUGAUACAGCGCGAGGGGGCGUCGAUCGUGUUCUGCGGGAUUGGCGACGGUGGCCGUCUCGCCCUGCGCGCCGCCCUGACCUUCUUGUCGUUCCUCACGACGGCGUGCCCUGCUCUGUGCGCAUCGGUCCUGUGCAUCACCUACGGAACGCCCCGUCUGCUGCUAAAGGAGGGACCGCGUCUACUGGCACACACCCUCCCUCUAAGUGGGCAGCUCCUGCACUUCACGCAGCUGCCACUGAUCGAGCACACGCCUCUUGUGAGCGACAUGGUUGCCCUAUCGCAGCGGGGCUCUGGCGUCGCCGUCGACACACCACCGCUAGGCUACGCAAACGGGUUUUACCGCAACAUGCUAUUAGGGGUGCAGUGCCGGGUGACAGACGGGACUGGACUGCACUUCCGCCUUUCAUCGCCAGACGAGCUGUCUACCGAGGCGGAGGAGGCGGAGGCGUUUGACGUUGUAGGGCAGCUGCGCGCGUUAUCACAGCUCUUCUUUCCAUCUUCGCCGCCGUGGCUGUCGCCGUCUGUUACGUCCGUCAGCUGCUGCACGGAAGGACCGCUGCUGCACGUGAGUGUAGAGGGGGCUAACUUGCAUUACUGUCCUCGGGUGACGUUGACACCGUCGUAUCCUCGCGGCACCCCGCUCUUCCCACGUGUCGUCGCUAGCACUCCGCUUCAUCUCGAGUGCACUGCCUGCCUCCUGCCUUGGGUGCAGCAGCAUGCUGCUGGUCACGGCUUGCGUGACGCGGCUCCAUUGAACAUAUCGGCGUUUCUCCUCGUGCAGACGUCCCUGGGUACAGCCUUUGCUCCGGCGCCGGCGACGGUGGUGCUCCCGGAGGACUUGCUCGAACUGUUUUGCGCGGCGCAGCAGGGCUCUGCACCAUGGAGUACCGAAGCUGCUCCGGGGCUUGUUGAGUGCGCCUUGCAGCUGCAGCCGCUUUAUGUCUCAGCCGGCACUGGCGGCGUUGCUUUUCCAAGUGCCGCAGGCAACGCGCUGCACAAUCCGCUUUUCGAGUCCCUGUGCGCUCUUGCAUCUGCGGCUGAGGUCACCCUUUCGUCUGCAUACGCCGGUGCGCCGGCCAAGCCUGGUAGCGGAUUGCUGGGCUUCAUUAGCAGUGUGGGGGCUCGACUGUCUGCCAGGGCGGCGGACGCACUCACCGACGCGGUACCAGCACUGCGUGUGCCCGGCAUCGAGGCAGCCUACCUGAAGAACGCGCUUAAGGAGUGGACGGGCACUGACUUCACAGGCGCCGAGAUGUGGAGGUCGCGAUGCGCGUCGUGGAGGCAGCGCAUCUUCGGCGGGCUGUCGCUUCUCAGUGGCAUCUCGUACCGCAACACGCUUGUGCAAAUGCUCAGCGUGCUCGACGGCGACGCGGAGGUGGACGAGGAUGCCCCGCUCGCUUGCAUCGAGGCGUGCUUGUACGCCCACACAAAGUACCACAUCAAAGCAGCGCAAUCUUCACUGGUGCACAUGGACCAGUUGCUGUACACUGAGCUCUCUCUUAGCAGCUUUUACGGCGCGGUUGCCCACAUCUUCAAGAGUGAGGCCAGCUCGGCUUCCGGCUCACCGCUGCCGUAUCUCCGCGAGUCGAUGCUGCUGUGGGCACUGUGCCACUGCUUCGAGCUGAGGCGUGAGGUGGCGCGAACGACAUUCUGCUGCAAUGUGGGGUGCGCAGGGUGCGGCGUCUCGACGCUCUCCUCAUGCAUCUCGUCACUGUUGCACCACGAGGAGGCCCGGCGCCAUGGACGCCGUGGGACGUGCUUCCGCACCGUCCACUGCCGCAUCGCGUCGAGUGGCCUAUCGGCUGUUUACUUCGCUGCGCAGACGGGUGCGCGGUGUUGCGUCUUCCUGGCCGCGGAGGCGGCAGACUUGACGAGAGCCGAGUACACCUCAAUGAGCGUUCACAUUCAAGAGCACUUGACCUACGCUGGGCAGCAUGUGUUCCGGGUGAUUACAAAGGCAGAUGAGCACCUGCAGAGCAUCUCGGACCUGCGCAAGGAGCUUGAGAACGACACUUCAGUGGCUGCCUUGAUGUCACGGGUUGGUGCACAGAUGUUGGGCGGGUGCGGCACAGAGGAGCAGCGGCUGGUGGUUGCUCUCGCCCCAUCAACCUCUCGACUUGUGGAGCUUAUUGCCUGUACCCCCGCCGAGGUGGAGCAGUACGCGCAGAGGCUGCGCUCAUACUCGGAGGCACUGCUCUUGGACUGUCUCCGCCUUAGCGUUCUUCGAGGGGACGCUGACUGCACGAGGACGGCUUAGGUGCUUGCUGCACUGCAAAUGAGCGCCCGCAUAGCUGAAUGCUAUAGAUGUGCGGCGCCGUGCCGUUAUGGACUUCACUUUGCCACCGUCACACGCGUACACGCGAGGAGAGAGCGAGCGUGUGUGUACGUGCGUGUUUGGUGAAGUGCAGCGUCGGCGGGACUGGAAUCGGAGAGCGCGCGCGAGUGGCUGCGUGGGACGUGGAGCAGCUGACUGGCAGCCGCUUUACUAAAAAUAGAUUACUGCUGUUAUUGCUUGCAUGCCCGACGCCGUGCCACGCGAAUCUGCAGGCCCAGGGGUGCUGCCCCUCCUCCCCUCUCCUCUCUACAGCCACCCUGUACUAUGCAGCAGGCGCCACGUGUGUGCUUGCGCGUUGAGCGUGUCCGCUGCACGAAUCUUGUCACUGCAGCGACUGCCUGAUUUCUCUAUGCCUUCUCGGGCAUGUUGGUGCUGCCGUAGAGGGAGGGUGGAGGGAUAGAGAGAGGAGACCGGCGCACCUGCACGUGCGCGUAUGUGCACGUCGCUCCUCCUUUCUCUCUCCGCCACCUCCGCAUUUCUUAGCGCACGCAGCGUGCGUGAGGGUGUGCGGCGAGGGCGCUCAGUCAACGGCUGCCUUUUCAGUGUCAACGACGAUCUUGGCUUACCUCUAUUCCCGUCCCUCUCCGUGCCUCCUGCAUCUAUUCUCGUCGUCACCACCAUUUGCCUCAUAG